RNA transcript from Elaeis guineensis (African oil palm), 1577 nucleotides. It is a transcript of the gene named probable UDP-3-O-acylglucosamine N-acyltransferase 2, mitochondrial, with no coding region annotated. NCBI's taxonomy places the organism in Eukaryota, Viridiplantae, Streptophyta, Magnoliopsida, Arecales, Arecaceae. The record is from RefSeq and is a predicted model, not a curated record.
GUAGUUUCUAUCUUUGCGCUUCCAAUCUUCGCAUCUUUCUUCGUCAGACGUAGUCGACGUGGCCGUCUCCGACCGUCGCCAACGUCACCGUCCUCCCGAUUCUGCAGUUAUGCAAGUUGCUGCAAGAAGAGCUUUGAAGGCCUUCCAAUUGCUAUCUGAAAGAGGCUGCACUUUGGGUCAGCUCGUGGUCUCUCGUUCUAAUCACCGGCUCUUGGCCACAAGUCCUGAUGAAGGGACUUCUAUGGAUUCCUUGGAGUUUGUGCGAUGGCAUAAUGGAGGUGGACUUUUUCACAAGUCUGCACACAUUGAUCCAACUGUACGUAUAGAAACUGGUGCAGUAGUACAUCCAGACUCUGUCCUUGAUGCAGAUGUUCAUGUUGGAUCUGGAACUAUUGUUGGGCCUUCUGUGUCUAUUGGGAAGUCAACAAAAGUAGGGUACAAUGUUGUCUUAAGCAAUUGUACUGUGGGCUUGUUCUGCAUAAUCCACAAUGGUGUCUGCAUUGGUCAAGAUGGGUUUGGAUUUCUUGUUGAUGAACAAGGACAUGUAGUGAAGAAGCCCCAAGUUCUGCAUGUAAGGAUUGGGGACCAUGUGGAGAUUGGUGCCAAUACAUGCAUAGAUAGGGGCAGCUGGAGAGAUACAGUUAUUGGAGAUCAUACCAAAAUAGACAAUCUUGUUCAGAUAGGUCACAAUGUAGUCAUUGGGAAAUGUUGCAUGCUGUGUGGACAAGUUGGCAUUGCUGGUUCUGUGACUAUGGGAGAUUAUGUCACUUUGGGAGGGAGAGUAGCUGUGCGAGAUCAUGUUUCCAUUGCUUCAAAGGGAGGUUGAUGGGUUCUUAAUUCAUGGACGUGAUACAUGAGGGGCCACUGCAAAUUCCAUAAAACACAUCCAGUAUACAUUUCUAAUCAGUGUGUUUCAUCUUAUGCCGGGAAUUUGUUCGACUGGCAGCAAAUAGCUCUGUCACAAAGGAUAUCAUGGAAUCGGGUGACUAUGGUGGUUUUCCAGCAGUCCCAAUCCAUGAAUGGCGCAGACAAUCUGCAAAACUGCACAGAUUUUACAGGAGCGAUGUGUCUUAGAGAAUAGCACGCUUGAUUUAGAACUCAUGCCUUGACUUCGUAUGAACAAAUUCGAAGUGUCAGUGCAAAUUGGGCUAAGAUCAGCUUUGCCACUAGGCUUGGAUGAAGAAGAAAACAGAUAGCAUAUAUGCAAAACAUGGAGUGAUUCAUCUUUUCAGUUUUCCUCCAACCGCACAUGGCAAAUAUCCCAGAUCAAUUGUUGCACUGUAACUCGAAGUCCAGUUGGCUGAGUCAUUAAAAUAAUCUGAAGUAGGAAGAUUAUACCAUAGAUGGUGUAUCAGGAUCACUUUUAUUCUGCUUCUCCAGCUAUUUGCUGUUCUAAGCCAAUUUAUCUUAUGGCUCUCCAAGCAGCCAACUUUUGAUCCCAUCACUAUUUUAAAAAAAAGAACAAUGGAAACAUGUAUAUUUCCUAUGACAUUUUGGGGUCCUUUGAAUCACAUAGAGUUAGCUAUCAUGAUAACGAGAAAGGUCCGUCAUCUUAAUACCAAACUCUAUAUUAGUAU